ACUAUCGUUAACUGAAUACAUAGGUUAACGAGGCGAACCGGGGGAACUGAAACAUCUAAGUACCCCGAGGAAAAGAAAUCAACCGAGAUUCCCCCAGUAGCGGCGAGCGAACGGGGAGCAGCCCAGAGUCUGAAUCAGCUUGUGUGUUAGUGGAACGGUCUGGAAAGUCCGACGGUACAGGGUGAUAGUCCCGUACACCAAAAUGCACAGGUUGUGAACUCGAAGAGUAGGGCGGGACACGUGGUAUCCUGUCUGAAUAUGGGGGGACCAUCCUCCAAGGCUAAAUACUCCUGACUGACCGAUAGUGAACCAGUACCGUGAGGGAAAGGCGAAAAGAACCCCGGCGAGGGGAGUGAAAAAGAACCUGAAACCGUGUACGUACAAGCAGUGGGAGCACCUUCGGGUGUGACUGCGUACCUUUUGUAUAAUGGGUCAGCGACUUAUAUUCUGUAGCAAGGUUAACCGUAUAGGGGAGCCGCAGGGAAACCGAGUCUUAACUGGGCGUUAAGUUGCAGGGUAUAGACCCGAAACCCGGUGAUCUAGCCAUGGGCAGGUUGAAGGUUGGGUAACACUAACUGGAGGACCGAACCGACUAAUGUUGAAAAAUUAGCGGAUGACUUGUGGCUGGGGGUGAAAGGCCAAUCAAACCGGGAGAUAGCUGGUUCUCCCCGAAAGCUAUUUAGGUAGCGCCUCGUGAAUUCAUCUUCGGGGGUAGAGCACUGUUUCGGCUAGGGGGUCAUCCCGACUUACCAACCCGAUGCAAACUACGAAUACCGAAGAAUGUUAUCACGGGAGACACACGGCGGGUGCUAACGUCCGUCGUGAAGAGGGAAACAACCCAGACCGCCAGCUAAGGUCCCAAAGUCAUGGUUAAGUGGGAAACGAUGUGGGAAGGCACAGACAGCCAGGAUGUUGGCUUAGAAGCAGCCAUCAUUUAAAGAAAGCGUAAUAGCUCACUGGUCGAGUCGGCCUGCGCGGAAGAUGUAACGGGGCUAAACCAUGCACCGAAGCUGCGGCAGCGACACUAUGUGUUGUUGGGUAGGGGAGCGUUCUGUAAGCCUGCGAAGGUGACCUGUGAGGGUUGCUGGAGGUAUCAGAAGUGCGAAUGCUGACAUAAGUAACGAUAAAGCGGGUGAAAAGCCCGCUCGCCGGAAGACCAAGGGUUCCUGUCCAACGUUAAUCGGGGCAGGGUGAGUCGACCCCUAAGGCGAGGCCGAAAGGCGUAGUCGAUGGGAAACAGGUUAAUAUUCCUGUACUUGGUGUUACUGCGAAGGGGGGACGGAGAAGGCUAUGUUAGCCGGGCGACGGUUGUCCCGGUUUAAGCAUGUAGGCUGGUUAUCCAGGCAAAUCCGGAUAAUCAAGGCUGAGGUGUGAUGACGAGGCACUACGGUGCUGAAGUAACAAAUGCCCUGCUUCCAGGAAAAGCCUCUAAGCAUCAGGUAACAUCAAAUCGUACCCCAAACCGACACAGGUGGUCAGGUAGAGAAUACCAAGGCGCUUGAGAGAACUCGGGUGAAGGAACUAGGCAAAAUGGUGCCGUAACUUCGGGAGAAGGCACGCUGGUGUGUAGGUGAAGCCCCUGCGGGUGGAGCUGAGACCAGUCGAAGAUACCAGCUGGCUGCAACUGUUUAUUAAAAACACAGCACUGUGCAAACACGAAAGUGGACGUAUACGGUGUGACGCCUGCCCGGUGCCGGAAGGUUAAUUGAUGGGGUUAUCCGUAAGGAGAAGCUCUUGAUCGAAGCCCCGGUAAACGGCGGCCGUAACUAUAACGGUCCUAAGGUAGCGAAAUUCCUUGUCGGGUAAGUUCCGACCUGCACGAAUGGCGUAAUGAUGGCCAGGCUGUCUCCACCCGAGACUCAGUGAAAUUGAACUCGCUGUGAAGAUGCAGUGUACCCGCGGCAAGACGGAAAGACCCCGUGAACCUUUACUAUAGCUUGACACUGAACAUUGAGCCUUGAUGUGUAGGAUAGGUGGGAGGCUUUGAAGCGUGGACGCCAGUCUGCGUGGAGCCAACCUUGAAAUACCACCCUUUAAUGUUUGAUGUUCUAACGUUGGCCCCUUACCGGGGUUGCGGACAGUGUCUGGUGGGUAGUUUGACUGGGGCGGUCUCCUCCCAAAGCGUAACGGAGGAGCACGAAGGUUAGCUAAUCCUGGUCGGACAUCAGGAGGUUAGUGCAAUGGCAUAAGCUAGCUUGACUGCGAGCGUGACGGCGCGAGCAGGUGCGAAAGCAGGUCAUAGUGAUCCGGUGGUUCUGAAUGGAAGGGCCAUCGCUCAACGGAUAAAAGGUACUCCGGGGAUAACAGGCUGAUACCGCCCAAGAGUUCAUAUCGACGGCGGUGUUUGGCACCUCGAUGUCGGCUCAUCACAUCCUGGGGCUGAAGUAGGUCCCAAGGGUAUGGCUGUUCGCCAUUUAAAGUGGUACGCGAGCUGGGUUUAGAACGUCGUGAGACAGUUCGGUCCCUAUCUGCCGUGGGCGCUGGAGAAUUGAGGGGGGCUGCUCCUAGUACGAGAGGACCGGAGUGGACGCAUCACUGGUGUUCGGGUUGUCAUGCCAAUGGCACUGCCCGGUAGCUAAAUGCGGAAGAGAUAAGUGCUGAAAGCAUCUAAGCACGAAACUUGCCCCGAGAUGAGUUCU
Molecule: ribosomal RNA, 2639 nt
Filed under: Klebsiella pneumoniae
Lineage: Bacteria; Pseudomonadati; Pseudomonadota; Gammaproteobacteria; Enterobacterales; Enterobacteriaceae
Also listed under: 1 other name
Description: bacterial LSU rRNA
Rfam family: Bacterial large subunit ribosomal RNA
Source: RNAcentral